RNAcentral lists this non-coding RNA (89 nucleotides) under Desulfitobacterium hafniense. RNAcentral describes it as "Glycine riboswitch". It matches the Rfam family "Glycine riboswitch aptamer", at positions 7 to 88 of the family's 94-position model. Rfam says of the family: This family represents the bacterial glycine riboswitch. Glycine riboswitches usually consist of two metabolite-binding aptamers domains with similar structures in tandem. The aptamers cooperatively bind glycine to regulate the expression of downstream genes. Lineage: Bacteria; Bacillati; Bacillota; Clostridia; Eubacteriales; Desulfitobacteriaceae. The record is from RNAcentral.
ACGAAACUCUGGAGAGCUUCUCAGCGGAGAACACCAAAGGGGUAGCCCGCAAGCAAAGGGUAAAUCUCUCAGGUCAAAGGACAGAGGUA